RNAcentral lists this ribosomal RNA (253 nucleotides) under uncultured bacterium. RNAcentral's name for it is "partial 16S ribosomal RNA". It matches the Rfam family "Bacterial small subunit ribosomal RNA", at positions 524 to 776 of the family's 1533-position model. The record is from RNAcentral.
UACGGAGGGUGCAAGCGUUGUUCGGAUUUAUUGGGCGUAAAGCGCGUGUAGGCGGUCUUCUAAGUCUGAUGUGAAAGCCCUGGGCUCAACCCAGGAAGUGCAUUGGAUACUGGAAGACUUGAAUACGGGAGAGGGUAGUGGAAUUCCUAGUGUAGGAGUGAAAUCCGUAGAUAUUAGGAGGAACACCGGUGGCGAAGGCGGCUACCUGGACCGAUAUUGACGCUGAGGAGCGAAAGCGUGGGGAGCGAACAGG